Arabidopsis thaliana (thale cress) is the source of this 2284-nucleotide long non-coding RNA. RefSeq annotates it as other RNA. Lineage: Eukaryota; Viridiplantae; Streptophyta; Magnoliopsida; Brassicales; Brassicaceae. The record is from RefSeq. The transcript has 2 exons.
CUCAACUUCAUGUCGUUUGACAAUAAGAACAAGAUUUCUCUUUAAUGUUUUCAAACUCACACAUUUUAUCUUAUAUUGACCCAAAAUAAAACCCAAAAAAAGAAAGAAAGAAAUCAUCUUCAGACUUUAAAUUUGCAGAGAGUACAGAGAUGAUGAUGGUACAUUAGUUUACUGUGCAAUUGAUAUAUCUACAUUUCGGUGGAUAUAAUCUCCAGCUCCGCCCACCACGCCGGAGACCGACUAGGCAACGCUGCUUCCGGCGUUAUUCCGGUGAUCUCUCUCAGCUUAACCACCACUUCCUUCAUUUCCACCUUCUGACUCAAACACUCUUUAACCACUUCCCACACUCUCUCCAUGACCUCCUCUUGAAAGCUUUUCAGAGUCGGGUCUGCAACGGGUUUGGUUUCUUCCUGGAGCAGAGAAUCUGGAUCCGGGAUCUUUCCGGUGAUGAUCUCUUGUAGAAGGGCGCCAAAGCUGGAUACGUUGGUCAUGGGGUCAAGUGGUGUGGAGCUGAGGAACGUAAAGUCUGAGACUUUGGCUGCGUAAUCUGUUGCCAAGUAGACUGAAGAAGAGUUGAGGUUGGUGUGAGAGAUGGGUUUAGGGUUUAGAUUGUGCAUAUGUUCCAUACAGUAAGCUAUUCCCAUUACGAUUCUCAGUCUCAUUGGCCAGUCCAAAUGCUCUGCGUCUUGGUCUGCAACAUAAUAUUACAGUUACAAGUUUAAAAAAUAGAUGGGAGGGACUGAGUCUGUUGGAAGAAGUGGCAUUACUACUACUCACCGUGCAGAUGCUCGAAGAGGGAUCCAUUAGGAGCGUAUUCGAAAACUAGCAUUCGGUUGAAUGGUUCGUCUUCAUGGCAAUAUCCGAUUACAUUGAGGAAGUUCUUGUGGUUCACUUGAGAUAACCUCUGUAUCUGCAUUGCAUGAUUUGUAUGUGUUUUAAAGAAGAGGAGAAAGAAUGCAGAAAGAGGUUUCUGAUGUUACCUUUUCUUGGAACUGUGUUUCGUGAUCCUCUGACCAGUCUUGGAGGGAUCCAGAUGCAACUGCUAGAACGGCAAUUUCAGAGCCGGUGGAGAGAGUUCCUUUGUAAAUGGUGGCGUCUGAGGAUGUGGAGCCUAUGAUGUUACUGAAAUCUUCACAGGCAGUUUCUAGUUCUGCUAGCUUCAGCUUGGGAACACCUUCAUAAGUCAUAAUAAAUACACUAAACUCACUUUCACCAAUCUCUGCUAUGUUAUUGAACUAGAGAGUAAACAUAACAGUGAUGAUACCUGUAGUAACAACAUCUUGAAGCUGGCCACUGCUCCCAGUUUCCCCCCAUGGCUUUAUCAAUUUUACCUUUUGGUUCCAGAGAAAAAAGAAGGCCACCAAUGCGGCCAUGACGCCUAAUACACCUACUAGCACUCCGACUAUUAUGUACAUCUUACUCUUAUGAGAUUUCUUUUUGUUGACAGCAUGAGGCACUUCAGAAAGCUGAGGUGGUGGAGUCUGAGCUGGUGGAGGCUGAGCUGGUGGAGGGGGAACUGGAGACGGGUUUGGGAUAACUUGGGUUUCAGUAGGAGGGCUUGCACCUAUAUUCUGCGGAGGAGGGGCAAAGAAGAAAGGAAAAUCAAUGGGGACUUCCUCCAUAGGCGAUGGAGGAGAAGGUUGAGAAGGAGGGGGAGAUAUCUGAAGCAGCCUGCGAGCGAAGGGAAAUGGUUGGCCAAAGUUGUUGUCACACAAAUCCAAGAUCUCAAGCUCCUGCAAUUCUGUUACCUCUUCAGACAACACCAGACCAAGAACAAUGAGAAAGCUCUCCCCAAUUAACCAGAGCUCCAAAUGGGUCUAUCUCUAUUCUCUCUUUGAAUUUCAUCAAGGCCAAUGCUGCAAAACACACAAGAGUUAAUCCAUCAAUCAAUAGUCGAAUAGACUCAGAAAGAAAGAUGAAACAAAAGUAAGUACCUUCGGUGUUGAAACAGAGACCAAAGGUGAGAUUGUGAGGAAGAAAGAAGAGGAAGAAGAAGAUGAAGAAUGCUGGUCGGAGCAAUCUCCACCGUUGAUCGGAACUCAUCCUUUUCUGUUUUGUUGGAGCAGUUCAAGUCGUCGUCCAGAAAAGAAGACAAAUCAAUGGCUGCUCCUUUUUAUAUCCCACCUUCUUCAUUUUUGAUUUGUUAUUUGUCAUUGUUUUUGAUAUAUACAAAUGUUUAACCAUAGAAACAAACAUUUACAAGUUGGAAAAAAUGUAAAUACAAUUUUAAUUUAAAUAUACACACCAUUUGCAAUGCACGAUAAAGUCUUUCCCUCUAGAAAUU